GAUGAACGCUGGCGGCGUGCCUAAUACAUGCAAGUCGAGCGAACAGACGAGGAGCUUGCUCCUCUGACGUUAGCGGCGGACGGGUGAGUAACACGUGGAUAACCUACCUAUAAGACUGGGAUAACUUCGGGAAACCGGAGCUAAUACCGGAUAAUAUAUUGAACCGCAUGGUUCAAUAGUGAAAGACGGUUUUGCUGUCACUUAUAGAUGGAUCCGCGCCGCAUUAGCUAGUUGGUAAGGUAACGGCUUACCAAGGCAACGAUGCGUAGCCGACCUGAGAGGGUGAUCGGCCACACUGGAACUGAGACACGGUCCAGACUCCUACGGGAGGCAGCAGUAGGGAAUCUUCCGCAAUGGGCGAAAGCUUGACGGAGCAACGCCGCGUGAGUGAUGAAGGUCUCCGGAUCGUAAAACUCUGUUAUUAGGGAAGAACAAAUGUGUAAGUAACUAUGCACGUCUUGACGGUACCUAAGCAGAAAGCCACGGCUAACUACGU
RNAcentral lists this ribosomal RNA (496 nucleotides) under uncultured bacterium. RNAcentral's name for it is "partial 16S ribosomal RNA". It matches the Rfam family "Bacterial small subunit ribosomal RNA", at positions 28 to 506 of the family's 1533-position model. The record is from RNAcentral.